Molecule: ribosomal RNA, 474 nt
Filed under: uncultured Smithella sp.
Lineage: Bacteria; Pseudomonadati; Thermodesulfobacteriota; Syntrophia; Syntrophales; Smithellaceae
Description: bacterial SSU rRNA
Rfam family: Bacterial small subunit ribosomal RNA
Source: RNAcentral
ACGGGGCCCGCACAAGCGGUUGGAGUUAUGUGGUUUAAUUCGACGCAACGCGCAGAACCUUUACCUGGUCUUGACAUCCCGGGAAUUUCCUUGAAAGAGGGAAGUGCCUCGCAAGAGGAGCCUGGAGACAGGUGCUGCAUGGCUGUCGUCAGCUCGUGUCGUGAGCUGUUGGGUUAAGUCCCGCAACGAGCGCAACCCCUAUUGUUAGUUGCCAUCAUUCAGUUGGGCACUCUAGCGAGACUGCCGGUAAUAAACCGGAGGAAGGUGGGGAUGACGUCAAAUCAUCAUGCCCCUUAUGACCUGGGCUACACACGUGCUACAAUGGUUGGUACAACGAGUUGCGAGUCGGUGACGGCGAGCUAAUCUCUUAAAGCCAAUCUCAGUUCGGAUUGUAGGCUGCAACUCGCCUACAUGAAGUCGGAAUCGCUAGUAAUCGCGGAUCAGCACGCCGCGGUGAAUACGUUCCCGGGCCUU